GAGAGAGAGAGAGGAGGAAGAAAAAUGAGGGUCAGAGUGGAAGGGAAGUAGAAGAAAUGGUUAAGUCGAAUGGGUUCAGUAUGAGCUGGAGGACGGAGAGACGACCAGUGAGAGUCACACGGUGAGCCGAUGAGUGAAAGAGAGCAAGUCGAGCGUGAGGCCGUUGGGCCAGCCCAGGUCGGUGUUGAUCAGGACCUUCCGGUCCGAGCCGUCCAAGUGAGAUCGCUCAAUCUUCGCAAUGUGACCCCAGUCGGUCCAGAAGAGGAACCUGCAGUGACAAAGACAGAGCAGACUGUUGUUGACCAGGACUUUGCGGCACGUUCCGUCCAGCCGGGCCACCUCGAUGGUGUUGCGCCCGGUGUCGGUCCAGUACAUGUUCCGGGACACCCAAUCUACGGCCAGCCCGUCGGUGGUCUUCAGGCCCUGGCUGAUCACCGUCUCCAUGCCACUGCCGUCUAGGUUUGCACGCCUGAUCCAGCGAGAUGACGUUGUGCAGCUCGGGCACCGGCACAUGCACGUCGGUGUGGUCGUUGGUGUCCAGGGAGAUUCUGCGCACGCUGACGCGGUUGGAGAAAACCAGGUAUGUCUCCGGGGAGUCGUCGCACGACCUGCCGUCUCCCUUGAGCAAGAUGCCGGUGGGACAGGCGCAGGACGUGCCAUUGGGACGAGGGAGGCAGAGACUCACCCAUCGGCCUCUCCCUGUCCACGGCCUGGAUGUCCAUGAGGCCUGGCAGGUUGGCUCGCACAGUGAUGGUGUUGGCCCCUGUGUUCUUGUCAGCUCGCUGGAUGCUGCGGCUCUGCCAGUCAGUCCAGUAGAUG
Molecule: long non-coding RNA, 819 nt
Organism: Scophthalmus maximus (turbot)
Lineage: Eukaryota; Metazoa; Chordata; Actinopteri; Pleuronectiformes; Scophthalmidae
Exons: 5
Source: RefSeq, a predicted model, not a curated record